GACGAACGCUGGCGGCGUGCCUAACACAUGCAAGUCGAACGGGACUCAGCCCUUCGGGACUGAGUUUAGUGGCGAACGGGUGAGUAACGCGUGAGGAACCUGCCUUUCAGUGGGGGACAACAGUUGGAAACGACUGCUAAUACCGCAUAAUACUUUCGAGCGGCAUCGUUUGAAAGUCAAAGAUUUAUUGCUGAAAGAUGGUCUCGCGUCUGAUUAGCUGGUUGGUGAGGUAACGGCCCACCAAGGCGACGAUCAGUAGCCGGUCUGAGAGGAUGAACGGCCACAUUGGGACUGAGAUACGGCCCAGACUCCUACGGGAGGCAGCAGUGGGGAAUAUUGGGCAAUGGGGGAAACCCUGACCCAGCAACGCCGCGUGAAGGAAGAAGGCCUUCGGGUUGGUAAAC
Molecule: ribosomal RNA, 404 nt
Filed under: uncultured bacterium
Lineage: Bacteria
Description: bacterial SSU rRNA
Rfam family: Bacterial small subunit ribosomal RNA
Source: RNAcentral